This 459-nucleotide ribosomal RNA is filed under the name uncultured bacterium. RNAcentral describes it as "partial 16S ribosomal RNA". It matches the Rfam family "Bacterial small subunit ribosomal RNA", at positions 338 to 795 of the family's 1533-position model. The record is from RNAcentral.
CCUACGGGAGGCAGCAGUGAGGAAUAUUGGUCAAUGGUCGGGAGACUGAACCAGCCAAGCCGCGUGAGGGAGGAAGGUACAGAGUAUCGUAAACCUCUUUUGUCAGGGAACAAAGACUGGGACGCGUCCCCGGAUGAGUGUACCUGACGAAAAAGCAUCGGCUAACUCCGUGCCAGCAGCCGCGGUAAUACGGAGGAUGCGAGCGUUAUCCGGAUUUAUUGGGUUAAAGGGGUGCGCAGGCGGUCUGUUAAGUCAGCGGUAAAAGCCCGGGGCCCACCCCCGGACCGCCGUUGAAACUGGCAGUCUCGAGUUGGAGAGAGGUAUGCGGAAUGCGCGGUGUAGCGGUGAAAUGCAUAGAUAUCGCGCAGAACUCCGAUUGCGAAGGCAGCAUGCCGGCUCCACACUGACGCUGAGGCACGAAAGCGUGGGUAUCGAACAGGAUUAGAUACCCUAGUAGUC